RNAcentral lists this ribosomal RNA (677 nucleotides) under Enterobacter hormaechei subsp. xiangfangensis. RNAcentral describes it as "partial 23S ribosomal RNA". It matches the Rfam family "Bacterial large subunit ribosomal RNA", at positions 2254 to 2925 of the family's 2925-position model. Lineage: Bacteria; Pseudomonadati; Pseudomonadota; Gammaproteobacteria; Enterobacterales; Enterobacteriaceae. The record is from RNAcentral.
GUGUCUGGUGGGUAGUUUGACUGGGGCGGUCUCCUCCCAAAGAGUAACGGAGGAGCACGAAGGUUGGCUAAUCCUGGUCGGACAUCAGGAGGUUAGUGCAAUGGCAUAAGCCAGCUUGACUGCGAGCGUGACGGCGCGAGCAGGUGCGAAAGCAGGUCAUAGUGAUCCGGUGGUUCUGAAUGGAAGGGCCAUCGCUCAACGGAUAAAAGGUACUCCGGGGAUAACAGGCUGAUACCGCCCAAGAGUUCAUAUCGACGGCGGUGUUUGGCACCUCGAUGUCGGCUCAUCACAUCCUGGGGCUGAAGUAGGUCCCAAGGGUAUGGCUGUUCGCCAUUUAAAGUGGUACGCGAGCUGGGUUUAGAACGUCGUGAGACAGUUCGGUCCCUAUCUGCCGUGGGCGCUGGAGAAUUGAGGGGGGCUGCUCCUAGUACGAGAGGACCGGAGUGGACGCAUCACUGGUGUUCGGGUUGUCAUGCCAAUGGCACUGCCCGGUAGCUAAAUGCGGAAGAGAUAAGUGCUGAAAGCAUCUAAGCACGAAACUUGCCCCGAGAUGAGUUCUCCCUGAGACUUUAAGUCUCCUGAAGGAACGUUGAAGACGACGACGUUGAUAGGUCGGGUGUGUAAGCGCAGCGAUGCGUUGAGCUAACCGAUACUAAUGAACCGUGAGGCUUAACCUU